UACGGAGGGGGCUAGCGUUGUUCGGAAUUACUGGGCGUAAAGCGCACGUAGGCGGCUUUGUAAGUUAGAGGUGAAAGCCCGGAGCUCAACUCCGGAACUGCCUUUAAGACUGCAUCGCUUGAACGUCGGAGAGGUAAGUGGAAUUCCGAGUGUAGAGGUGAAAUUCGUAGAUAUUGGGAAGAACACCAGUGGCGAAGGCGACUUACUGGACACAUAUUGACGCUGAGGUGCGAAAGCGUGGGGAGCAAACAGG
RNAcentral lists this ribosomal RNA (253 nucleotides) under uncultured bacterium. RNAcentral's name for it is "partial 16S ribosomal RNA". It matches the Rfam family "Bacterial small subunit ribosomal RNA", at positions 524 to 776 of the family's 1533-position model. The record is from RNAcentral.